Molecule: long non-coding RNA, 1165 nt
Organism: Tympanuchus pallidicinctus (lesser prairie-chicken)
Lineage: Eukaryota; Metazoa; Chordata; Aves; Galliformes; Phasianidae
Exons: 3
Source: RefSeq, a predicted model, not a curated record
CACAGUUCAAAUUUGGCAAAGUUGAGUUCUUGAAAUCAGGUUUUCUAAUGGCAAACAUGAGUGGAAAAAAAUAGUUGUGGAUAGUGUUGCUGUCUUAUAAUAUUAUAUUUUAAAAUUUCACAAUCAGUAGGCUAUCCUUCUAAGAUCAGUGUGAGAGAAGGACAUAGAAGAGAGUAUCUAGUUACUAAAGAGUUGCAAUUAUAAAAGGCUACUUUUCAGCAUAAUGUGCCUGCACAGACCCUACACCUUUGGUUUUAGAAAGGCAACUGUAUCAUUUUGUGUUUUUCAGCACAAUGACAAAAAAUUUCUGCCAUCAGAAAUUUUCCUAGACAACUGCAAAUAUUUAAUAAGCUAUUCUGAGGAGUUUAAGUGUGCUUUCAGAAGAUUUUUAAGUGUAGCACAUCCACCAAAUGUCUUAUGAAAAACAGAAAACUAGCUUUGAAGGAACAUGGAUUAGUUUCCUAAAUUAUUUGCUGUGUCGACUGCAUGGGAACAGUUUGUUCACAGCCUGAACCAGUGAUUGAGCACCUGGUGAAGGGGCGUAGCCAGCCCUGGGAGCACACGUGUGAGUAAUUCACCUGUGCAACCAAAGGGUUGUGUGCAACCAAAAUUCACCUGUGCAACCAAAAGGAGUCUGGGUCCACCUCCUCCCUAACCUCAUUUAAGGGCUGGAGCUGAAAGGGAAAUAUCUCUCUUUGGAGAUUGUCUUCUUUGGGAGUUUCUAGUGAGUCCUGUUCUUUGGAAAGGGCUAGUGAUUGAAAGUGUGAAUGCUGACUUCAAAAAAUGCUGCAUGCUCUGAAGAAUCCCACUACUAAGGAACUGAUGCAACAAAAGCUGCUGGAGUGGAAGCUAUUGGAUCUCAGCAACUGGAAGCAAGGAAUAUGUCCAAGAUGGAUACCAGCGUGAUGAGUCUGGCCAUACCAUCAUUUGCUGUAACAUGAACACAGUACUUUCGUCAGUGGUUUGGACUCUCACCGACAAGACGCUUUGUCAGCUGCCUCACCAAGGAAUCAUGAAAAUUGGAGUUGUUGGGUUAGGUUAAUAUGGACUAUUGUUUGUGCUCUAAAGAACCCAUCCUUUUUCUUCUUUCUCUAUUAAGAAGAGAAGGGGGAGAUGUGGGAUAAAGAAAGUCAUUAUCAUGCUAAUGAGUAAAAAAGCUUAGUAA